Molecule: ribosomal RNA, 472 nt
Filed under: uncultured Bacteroidota bacterium
Lineage: Bacteria; Pseudomonadati; Bacteroidota
Description: bacterial SSU rRNA
Rfam family: Bacterial small subunit ribosomal RNA
Source: RNAcentral
GGCAAACGGGUUGCGUAACACGUUACGCAACUUACCCAUUUACAGGGGAAUAGCCCAGGGAAACUUGGAUUAAUACCCCAUAUUAUAUAGAACUGGCAUCAGUUUUAUAUCAAAGCUUCGGCGGUAAUGGAUGGGCGUGCGGUUGAUUAGAUAGUUGGCGGGGUAACGGCCCACCAAGUCUACGAUCAAUAGCUGAUGUGAGAGCAUGAUCAGCCACACGGGCACUGAGACACGGGCCCGACUCCUACGGGAGGCAGCAGUAAGGAAUAUUGGGCAAUGGACGAAAGUCUGACCCAGCCAUGCCGCGUGAAGGAUGAAGGUCCUCUGGAUUGUAAACUUCUUUUAUCUGGGGCGAAAAUCACCCUUUCUAGGGUGCUUGACAGUACCAGAGGAAUAAGCACCGGCUAACUCCGUGCCAGCAGCCGCGGUAAUACGGAGGGUGCAAGCGUUAUCCGGAUUUACUGGGUUUAAA